This 2772-nucleotide long non-coding RNA is filed under the name Homo sapiens (human). Its description in RNAcentral is "HSALNT0169892". The record is from RNAcentral. Lineage: Eukaryota; Metazoa; Chordata; Mammalia; Primates; Hominidae.
GUGGGUUCCCUUAAGGCUCCGGCUCUGGGGGCAGCGCCCCCUGGGAGCGUCCAUUUUUAAGCCUGUGAAGAAAGGGCUGCUGACGUUUGGGGCCCCCGCUAUGAGCAUAGCCUCCACUCCUCCCCAAUCCCUGUCCGUGCCUCUACAUACCUCUGUGGCAUUUGCAAACCCUUUUCUUAGCAGGUGCUCCCAUCUGUGUUUGCCCUUCUCUCCUCCCGUUUCCAUGGAGAGGCUGGCACCAGGACGCGUGACUGACAGUGCUGUCUCCCCCAGCAGUCCCCUCUGAGUCUGUCGGGUGUGGGCUCCGGGCUCCACCCUGCUUCUUCCUUAGCCCGCUCUCUGCCCCUCCCACUGCCCAGGCUGCCGGGGCUUCCAGCUCCCGUGGUGCAAACGUGGCCUUUGCUGGCGGCAGGAUGCGGUUGCGUCAGGAGUAAGCAGAGCUUUUGUGACCAAAAUCAACCCCGGGGCAUCUCAGGCUCUAGCGCUGGUGGGCGUGUGAGAUCAUUUCAGCCCAACCCACAUCCCAGGCUUGAAUCCCAUUACCAGGGGCAACCGAUCCUUCUUGUCCUUUCCCAGAUUGGUGAUGGAUGUCCACUGUGUCUCCAUGCAGCUGGCCACUCUGUGGACAGCUGUUUGUGACUCAGCUCCUCCCAGCCUGAGGGCAUCUGGGCCCUGCAACUCCAUCCUUUGCUCCCCUUUCUUCCCGCGGGGACCCUUUCAUCUCCCUGGCAGGACCCUGUCUCCACCCGAGGGCACGUUCUCUGACCUCUUCUGCGGAGUACCCUGGCUUGAUGACGCUUCCUGUUCCUUCCCAGGGUUGUGCUGGGGGCAUCAGUCUUUGAACAGUCCCUCCCUGAGGGCUGCCGUGUCCCCUCAGUGCCCAGGCACAUCAAGCACUGCUACAAACCCAGACAUUCACAGGGACCCCUCCACCUGAAGUCCACCAUAAGGUAGAAGCUUCCGGAAGGGGUGAUGCAAAGGGGUCAAACAUUUAGACUACGCCUCAGAGCUGCAUGAUUCCUUCCUCUAACUGUGAAGCAAAUACAGCGAUUUCUCUGGGUCUGCCAUCGAGGCCUUCUUCCCUCUGCUCUCACCUCAGGUGCCUUCCUAAUGUGCAGGUGACGAUUGCCUCUGAGCUCAGGCAUGCAGCUUCUGGGAUGCACUCUCCUUUCACGGCAAAGCAUUCUGCAUAGGAAAAACCGUCUCUGCGUCUCCAAGCUGUGGCCUAGCCCUUCAUUCAUCAAAUGGGAUACAACUUUCAUUUCUUAUUAAAAUCUGGAAGUCACUCUCCAUUUGUAAGAUAUCCCAGGGGUUGAUGUCAUCUUGUAAAGGGGGACAGUGCCAUUUUCUAUCUUACACUUUAAAAAGACAAAACCACUAGCUACAAACAUCAUUCACCACAGCAUGGGAGAGGCAACCCCACAGCAAAGGUUAUGUCAUGUUUCAUAAAUGGGUAUGGAUUUGGGGGCUGGUUUUUUUAAUAAAAACAUAUUUUGGUACUUUGGAACUUGACAUAAUUUGAGCUGUUUAUGUUGUAGAUGUUAUGAAUAGAUGUUAUGGUAUUAAUUAAUAGUGUGUAUUUUCUAUGUCUGGGCUUGCCUGGACCGCUGGUCCUUGCCUUUCUUUCUGACACAGAAUUUCCAGGGCCUCAACCUGCUUCUGUCUGGAAGUGACAGCCCACUCCACAGGGGUCUUCAGAUAGGGGUAGAAGGUGGUGCCCUGGGCUCUCCUGGCUCUAGAGAAUCUGGCUCUAGAAUCACGAAGCCUUCCAGCAUCCCCAGCUUCCCCCUUGCAGUAAUCCCAUAAGGGAAGCGUUGUCCCAUUUUACAGAGAGUCCGUGGGGCUGAGAGGUGUCAUGAAUUAUUCUAAUGGUAGUAACUCUAUUGGAGAGGCUGAAACCCGGGGCUCGUGGAUGUUGUGACCCACCCCCCACCAGAACCUCCCAUCCUGACUCACUGAAUAUUUAGUACCAUCGUCCCCUGGAGGAUGGUCUAGUUGGCAAGUAGCUGAGGAUUUUUAAUUCUAAUUUAGUUUAAACAUGGCUGUUUGUUGCUGUUGCUCUCUAAAGGGCCUUAUUAAAGACUCUUGCUGCAGUGAAGGUGGCCUGUCUAGGAAUCGAUAUGGAUGUUGAGAUCUGAGACUCUACAACACCCCCAAUCUCAGUCCUUCUCGCUCCAUAGGCAGUUCCAUUCCCUGCAGAUCUAACUCUGAGAUUCUCACUCCUGAAAAUGCCUGGACAAUAAAUAAAUCCAAGGUGAAGGUGUUGAUGCCAGUGACCUAGCUGCAUCAUUUUAUUCAUGGCAUCAAGCCUUCAAGAAUGUGGCUUAACUUGUAUUUAUUCACAUGAUAAUGGCUUUUUAUAAAUCUGCAUCUCUUCCUCCCCUAGGAAGAAAAAAAGGGCAUCUCUUCAUGAGUCACUUGAUUAAAAUUCCUCUCCAGUACUCUGUACCAUCCACUCAUACUGGAAUUGUUGAAAAUCAGGUGAUUUGCAACUCCACACUUGCCCAAAUUAAACCAUGAGUGGAAUUGACAAUAUGAAUCCUGAAUUUUCUGAGCUGGAAGGAGGUUCUAGUGAUUACCCACACCAGGGAUGGCAUUUUACACAUGAAGAAACAGAGGCCCCAGGGUUGUUUCUGAUCCAGAUUUGGAGUGUGUAAAUUGAUAAAAUUAGUAUCAAUGCUAUUGUAACUACCUGGAAUUGGUUAAAUAGCAGCAGUGCCAGUCACCUUUCUUAGAGUAGAGAUUGCCAGCAGGCAAUAUCUUCAUCCUCAG